UGAUGAAUCACAGGCAAACAAAACAAUGCUCUACGCAGAUCUGUUUGUGCUCAUUCAGGCCAGUUGCCCAGUCACUGCCUAAAUGCUUUCAUGUGAACUGCUGUUUCUUCAGAAAAUUCAGGCAUUACUAGGAAUUCAUUCUUCUGUAAAGGAUAACAGGGAUCACGUUGGAAAGUCUUCUGGAUCUUCUGUGUUUGGAUGCUUCGGUUUUCCCAGGUUUUAUACUUCCUACUUUUUAAUCCAUGACUUCAAGAAAAUAUAUUUUCAGCAUGCUGUUUCCAAAACAUCUCAGGAGCUGUUGUUGUUUUCCCAUUCACAUAUCAAGUUCUUCUACUUAGGGUUACUCCUUUCAUACAACAACUGGUAUCAAUUAACAUAAAGUUUUUUUUUUUUUUUUGACUGCAAACUGUGCUUGCUUGUAUUUGAAUUGUUUGAUAAAUUGAAUAAUGGUAAAUUUUCUGAAAAUAGAAAUCUAACCUGGGUAGGCAUAUCUCCCCUCCUCCUUUGUUCUACUUGCUUUCUUGAGAGAUGAUACCGCCCCAUUAUCUUGUUAUGUAACACCUAUCUUCUAGGAAAUUUGUAUUUCUGCUUUUCCCAUAACCUCAGUCAAACAACAACAAACCCUCUCACACGUUGAAUGGAGAGGGCUACUCUGAAUGGCUAAUGUUGGCCAGUCUUUCCGGGUCCUUCCCAGAGACCACAGAGACAGGCUCUUUGGGAGCAGGUACACUGUGGAGCUGAUGAAUUAACGCCUAUUUUUUUGUUCCUGAGCACUGUUGCCUUUCUGAUCUUGGUGGCUGCUCACCCAAAGUGUGGACACAAGAGGGAGGCUGCUAUUUGACAUGCUUCCCUGGGAACUCAACACAUUGCCUCCAUGACAUUUGUAUCCUAUGCUAGUCUGGGAAGUGAGACUCCAGAUUGAGACCACCCCCAUGUCAGGUGCCCAGCUAAUGCUUUGCAUAAUGCAAACAGCGUUCACUCAUGGGAUUCUGACGGAGAGAUAAGUAGCCUUCAAAAACGCUUAGAAGAUGUUACAUUUCAGAGAGGCAUUGCUUAAAACAUAUGGACCUUACUUUAGGGCCAAGCAAGAAAGACAUUUGAUUACUGAUUUGUUUACGUGUGUUUAUUCACUUCUUUUCUUCAUUAAACAAAUGAAUAUCCUCGUGAAGAGGAAAAAAAUGAUGAGGAGGACUGAAUUCUCCCUGUGUAAGUAUAUAGAACAUUCUUGGAUGUUAAUGAGAAUUGUACAUCUACAUUAUAAAAUGGAGUUUACCCACCCAAUAUUGGUGUGAUGAUUUGCAACUUCAACCAGUUUGGAGAACAAUAAUAUUUGAAAACUAUGCUGAGGGCCAGAUAAACUUCUCCAUUUUCAGAAAGGGACAAAUAAGAAGGAAUGGUCCUUCCCUAAUGCAUAAUUUCUCCUUUUCUAGUGUAAAAUAUAGUAAAUUACUCCAAACACAAACUAAUCAUCAAGAAGGCAACAAUACUGUUAAUGGUUUAAGCAUAGUACUCAGUCUGAGUUUACUCUGCCUUAUGGAAAUAUCAAAGUCAUUUUGAUUAUGCUCAGAGGUUUAAUAUAGCUAUUAGAACAACAACUACUCUAUCGGUGUUACACCAUUACGUUUGUUAAGUUGAUUCAGCAGUAGAACUAUGACUCUUAUUUUUCCAGCUGCAUUUGUGAAUUUGUUUUUGCUUAAGUUUGAGUAAUUGAAGUCUUGUGGGAAGUAAAGUCAUUGUUCAUCUGCUUAUUUCAAUCUGUGCUGGGAAAACCAAUUUUCUCUUGUUAAAUUAUAUUUCUAAUGUUCAACAGGGAUAGCUGCAGAUACUUGUUGUCAUGCCUUGCUUUCUUUGAAAUAUUUCUUAACUGGCUCUCCAAGCUAUUUUUCCACCCCCUGAUAUUUCAGCAGCAAGGUGAUUCAUUCAGAAUAGUUUUACCCUAUUUCUGACAUCACAGAUCUAUCAGCAGAGAUGGUCUGACAGGAGUCUGAAACCGGUACUCUGUAAUGUGGCCAAUACGUAAUUUUUAUCUAAACAUAAGAGUGAGAAUGGGGCAAAUUUUUUGUUUAUCUUUUUAUUUUUAUUUUUAUUUUUUGAAGUGAGCUUUCUACUUAAAGGCUGCAUUCCCCCAUCAGUUUCUCUUACUUUCUUUGAUAGCAUGUUUUCCACACUUGUGUUGUGCAUGGCUCCUCAAAUGCCAUUACAGGCUGAGCAAACACCUUUGCUGUUAUGGUAAGAAGGACCAAUUUUGGCCUGAAUAUUUGAUAAGAAUAAAUUACAUUUUUCUUGCUUACCAUGUCAAAAAUAAGUAUAUAAAUAAAUAAAAUUGCCACUCUGCCAACCAGAACAAACUUUCUUUGCAGAACUUUACAGCUUACAGUUACUUGGGGACCCCUGUUGAAAAACAACUUCUGAAAGUCUGGUAACUUUUCUUCAGUGCUUAAUUGAGAACAGACUAUUUUGGAAACAUCAACCAUCAGAGAUAUGUAAUCACCUAAAUAGGUGGAGGCAAUGUAAUUAUACAGAAUCAUCUUUGUUCCAGGGUUAAUGCAAGAAAAGAGCAGCCUUAGUGAAUGAAAGGAGGUGAUUCAAGUCCUCCUGAAGUUAAUGAACAGCUUUGUGUCAGGCUCCUAAUACAUAGAAUAAAACAACAGCAUUUGUUACUUUUUGACUGCUGAAAAAUAUUUUGGAGUGGUGGAUUGUUGAAUUUUAUGGCAGUUUUCAAUUUGACCUGAAGUGUUGAUAAGGUUUAUUUCUGAACUUCUUUAAAUGGAAAGUGGCUGACAGUGCAAUUAAACCAUGUGAAUAUUUGGGAACUGAAUAAGAGGAAAUGC
Gallus gallus (chicken) is the source of this 2831-nucleotide long non-coding RNA. RefSeq lists it as uncharacterized. NCBI's taxonomy places the organism in Eukaryota, Metazoa, Chordata, Aves, Galliformes, Phasianidae. The record is from RefSeq and is a predicted model, not a curated record. The transcript has 3 exons.